Molecule: long non-coding RNA, 2050 nt
Organism: Oryctolagus cuniculus (rabbit)
Lineage: Eukaryota; Metazoa; Chordata; Mammalia; Lagomorpha; Leporidae
Source: Ensembl
GUGAGCUGUGAGGAGUGUGCCCUCUUGCAGGACUGAGGGAAAGGGGGCCGUGGUGGGGUGCCGGCAGUCGCCCACACACUUAGCUCAUUAGAUCUUUCGCCCUGAAGUUUUUCUCCACCCUUAGUCCAUACGCAUAAUGCAUUAAUUUCACAUUCAAAAGCAGAGUGCUUUGGUUGAACCAUAGUAUUUAGCAGCGUGUUAGCGUGGCGGGGAGAGAGGCACGGGGUGAAGAAAACCCAGUUUCUUUCCUGCAGUUGCUCUCAGUAUGGCACCAGAGCACAGGGCUAUGGAUGAAUGAUCCAGGAGCGAUAUACCGUGGAUGCAAAUAAAAAUAUGUAGCAGAAACACAGAGCUUUGCUACAUAAGUUCAGGAGAGAAGAUUCUGGAUUCGGACUUAGUUUGCUCCCUAGCCAUGUAACCUAAAAGAAAUUACUGGAUCCUUCCUGCCUUCAGUUUUCCAGUGUGUAAAUGGGAUUGAAAUAGGUGUGCCUGUCUAUCAGGGAGUUAUGGUUACCAGGGUUGCAGGAGGUGACACAGGUGUAACACAAGCCACGUUCCAGACUCAUGGUGAGCACUUGAUAAAUACCAGCUUUUACCAGCAGUUGUCCUUGGGGGUAGCAUUUGGAGUAAGAGCAGUGGGAGCAGUCAUGGGUAGGAAUCAGGAUCUGGAAAGACGUUGAGGUCACAUUGACAAAGACGUGAGGGCAUGCAGGAACACGGCACAUCUGGGUAAUAAUUAAUAGGCCAAACUAUUCCAGUGUUCCAGUGGGAAGGAACGGAGUUGGAAAAAGACCAGGAAAAGAUUGUACAGGGUGGGGCUGAUAGAGGGAGCAGCCGGCCUGAGGGCCAAGGCUGCCCACUGGCGUUUUGAAGGCAGUGGUCGUGAAUGUGUGUCAGGAACACUGCAGGAAUGGCCACAGAGUUUUGCAGGCGGCACGUGCCGGCGGGUCUCUGAUGCAGGGCCACACAGGGAGCCACCUGAACACCGUGAGAGGGACCAGGCAGACUACCUUGCUCUUGUGUAUCUUCCGGCCAUCCCAGAAGCUGCUCCUGUGGUGCACCGCUUGAACCGCUGGAGUAGAGAGAAGCCCCUCCUGUUCUGCGCUCACAUGCCCUGGGUGGUCCACACGUCAUACGAGAGCCCUGGCUGUGACAGCAGUGUCCCGUGUGCAGUGCUCUCUGUUAGCCCUGGCAAGUGUGUCUGCAGUGUUAGUAAACCUGGCCUGGAAGUUGAAUUUGUGAUGUAAGCUGACCAGCAGACUCUGCAAAAAAAACAGCAGCCUGAGUUGUUAAAGAGGAAGCUAUUACAUUGAGUGCAGACUGAUGCUUGGGCAUGUGUUUAUUCCAUCAUGUAUUAGUGAUUUUGAUUUAAUUGGUGGCACAUGUGAAGUCCUCAGCAACACAAGCAUCAUGUGUGUGAUCACCGUGUGCAUCCGAGGGAGGAGCAGUGCUCCCCACAUGGGUGUCACUCCGCACAGUAGCGAUUUUCCCAUGAUGCCUUGCUGCUGGCUGAGGGCGAGGAGCUAAGCCUGAUGUAGCAGACACAGAUGUCUAUGCUGGAAAUGUGUCCAUUGCGUCCUUACCUACAUAAUUUUUCUUGCAAGAGUAAUUGGACAUAAAACGGUAAACGCCCAGGGAGGAGCCUGUUCUGAGACAGACCUUGUGAGCACCUGCUCAUGAGCCCAGCCCUGUGUCACCCAGAGGCCUUCAUCCUUGGAGGAGAGCAGGAGGCAUCGGAACCUUGUUGGCGACAUCCUCUCUGUCAGAACUUCGGGUGCUCUUUAAUUAUUCAAAGUUGAUGCCUUGGCCUAUUAAGGACCAUACGAGUCAGAGUGAGCAGUGCCCUGGGUUGGGUCCUAACUUCUCUGGGGACGGGGGACCACUGAUGUGUACAUCUUCCUAUCGCCAAAAUGAUCAUGCUGCCUAUGCAGGCCCUCCCUGAUUUUUAUGCCUUUUAGACAAUAUUGGUAGAAGACAAUUACUUCCUGGUUUUUUCUUCCUUGACUUAGAUUUUCCCUGUGGUGAAAGUGUAGCUGCAAGGGUGCUGAUU